Molecule: long non-coding RNA, 1089 nt
Filed under: Oncorhynchus mykiss (rainbow trout)
Lineage: Eukaryota; Metazoa; Chordata; Actinopteri; Salmoniformes; Salmonidae
Description: lncRNA (ENSOMYG00000056414.1)
Source: RNAcentral
AAUGGACAUAGACCAAGGGAGCACGGAAUGUGUGUGUGAGAUGUGAAUAUGUAUGUAUGUCAGAGUGUGGUAUGAGUUAUAUGUAUAUAUAUAUAUAUAUAUAUAUAUAUAUAUAUAUAUAUGAGAGAGAGAUUGUGUGUGCCUUGCCUUUUAGAGAAAUAUUGUGCUAUAAUUUAUUGUAGAAAGCAAAAACAAUGAACAACCAUGUGAAACCAACAAAUGACACUUACCAUCUUCUCAUUAAUCAACAUACCUUGAGAUUCUUGUUGCUGUUGGUGCUUUUGCAUGUUGUACUCUUUUUAUUUGUUUUUAUGUUCAGUCUUCAUCUAUUUCAUUAAUAGGUAAGAUAAGCUUUUUCAUUUGAGGUGAAAUGUAUAAUUGCUUCAGUAACAGCCUUCUAUUUUACCUGGAUAUGACUGCCUUUUAUCAUGUUAAGAGCCAAUGUCUUUGACAUUCCUCAUCUGUCAGGUUAAAGUUUUCCUGGAACUUUCUCCAAGUCAGGUUGAAGUUUCCCCAGAAACGUUGUCCUUGUUUUUUUUCAUUGUCACUCAUAGCUCAUUGACAGAGCGGGUAGAGAAUAGUUUACUCAUUCAGCACACUGUUUAUGCAAAGGGAGGAGCAGAGCCUAUUGUCAAUUCUGUACAUGAACUACUGAUAACAAAUAAGAACACGAAUAAGCUACUGGGACUCUCAAGUUUCAGAAAAAUUUCACCGGCUCAGAUUCUGAUACAAGUUGACACAAAAUCUGCCUCAACUCAACAACCUGAUCUGUUACUGGAAUACCCACAAGCCUAUGUUGGCGUGAGGUCAUCAUGUAUGUGGAUACUACUACACCACGGUGCUGAACACCCAGAAGAACUGCUUUCUGGGAACUGUAGUCACAACACUUAUUUAGGCCAUGACACAGUCAUUACUUUUGAUGUCCUGUUUUCUCUUGAAACUUGUUUGUUAUGUAUGCCAUGCCCUGUUGUGAAUAUGUAUGGUGAGAGAGAUACCGUCCAUGCAGAGUUCAUGUACUGUUCGCAGAUUAAAAAGCAGGGGUACACGAUAUUGUACAUCAUUCCUUUCAUUCAAUUUUUGAAUUUUUAA